This 641-nucleotide ribosomal RNA is filed under the name uncultured bacterium. RNAcentral describes it as "bacterial SSU rRNA". It matches the Rfam family "Bacterial small subunit ribosomal RNA", at positions 67 to 691 of the family's 1533-position model. The record is from RNAcentral.
CGAGAAGGGGACUUCGGUCCCUGAGUAGAGCGGCGCACGGGUGAGUAACGCGUGGAUUAUCUACCCAGAUAUUCGGGAUAACGGCGGGAAACUGCCGCUAAUACCGGAUACGCUCCAAUUUCGGUUGGGGGAAAGGCGGCCUCUGCUUGCAAGCUGUCGUAUCUGGAUGAGUCCGCGUCCCAUUAGCUUGUUGGUGGGGUAAUGGCCUACCAAGGCGACGAUGGGUAGCUGGUCUGAGAGGAUGAUCAGCCACACUGGAACUGAAACACGGUCCAGACUCCUACGGGAGGCAGCAGUGGGGAAUAUUGCGCAAUGGGGGAAACCCUGACGCAGCGACGCCGUGUGAGGGAAGAAGGCUUUCGGGUCGUAAACCUCUGUCGGGAGGGAAGAACCUUCCAGGCCUGAACAAGUCCUGGAACUGACGGUACCUCCAAAGGAAGCACCGGCUAACUCCGUGCCAGCAGCCGCGGUAAUACGGAGGGUGCAAGCGUUAAUCGGAAUCACUGGGCGUAAAGCGCGCGUAGGCGGCCUUUUAAGUCGGACGUGAAAGCCCUCGGCUCAACCGGGGAACUGCGUUCGAAACUGGGAGGCUUGAGUCCUGGAGAGGGUGGCGGAAUUCCGGGUGUAGGAGUGAAAUCCGU